RNAcentral lists this ribosomal RNA (600 nucleotides) under uncultured Cortinarius. RNAcentral's name for it is "eukaryotic LSU rRNA". The stretch from base 306 to 459 matches the Rfam family "5.8S ribosomal RNA". The record is from RNAcentral. Lineage: Eukaryota; Fungi; Basidiomycota; Agaricomycetes; Agaricales; Cortinariaceae.
UAGAGGAAGUAAAAGUCGUAACAAGGUUUCCGUAGGUGAACCUGCGGAAUGGAKSAUUAUUGGAAUAUAAUACGCUGAKGAGUUGUUGCUGGUUCCCUAGGGAGCAUGKGCACACUUGUMAUCUUUAUAUCACCACCUGUGSACCUUUUGUAGACCUGGAUAUCCUUCUGAAUGCCUGGCGUUCGGGUUUGGGGAUUGACUUUUUUUGUCUUUCCUUACAUUUCUAGGUCUAUGUUUUCAUCAUUAUACCCCAAUGUAUGUUACAGAAUGUAAUAAAAAGGGCCUUUGUGCCUAUAAUCUUAUACAACUUUCAGCAACGGAUCUCUUGGCUCUCGCAUCGAUGAAGAACGCAGCGAAAUGCGAUAAGUAAUGUGAAUUGCAGAAUUCAGUGAAUCAUCGAAUCUUUGAACGCACCUUGCGCUCCUUGGUAUUCCGAGGAGCAUGCCUGUUUGAGUGUCAUUAAUAUAUCAACCUCUUCAAGUUUUUGCUUGUUGAGUGUUGGAUGUGGGGGUAUAUUUUUGCUGGACUUUUUUUGAGAUCAGCUCCCCUGAAAUGUAUUAGCGGAACAUAUUGUUGAUCGUUAAUUGGUGUGAUAACUAU